AAAAAAGUCUUCGGAUGACCUGUGGGUAGGGGUGAAAGGCCAAUCAAACUCGGAAAUAGCUCGUACUCCCCAAAAUGCGUUUAGGUGCAGCGUUAGUUAUAAAGUUAUAUAGAGGUAGAGCUACUGAUUGGAUGCGGGGGCUUCACCGCCUACCAAUUCCUGACAAACUCCGAAUGCUAUAUAAUGUUCACUAACAGUGAGGGCUUGGGUGCUAAGGUCCAAGUCCGAGAGGGAAAGAACCCAGACCAUCAGCUAAGGUCCCCAAAUAUACACUAAGUUGAAAGAACGAGGUUUAUCUGCCCAGACAGCUAGGAUGUUGGCUUGGAAGCAGCCAUUCAUUUAAAGAGUGCGUAACAGCUCACUAGUCGAGCGGACGAGCAUGGAUAAUAAUCGGGCAUAAGUGUAUUACCGAAGCUAUGGAUUUACAAGUAAUUGUAAGUGGUAGGGGAGCAUUCUAACAGGGUUGAAGGUGUAUCGUCAGGUAUGCUGGACUGGUUAGAAAAGAAAAUGUAGGCAUAAGUACCGAUAAUGCGGGCGAGAAACCCGCACACCGAAAAACUAAGGUUUCCACAGCUAUGCUAAUCAGCUGUGGGUUAGUCUGGUCCUAAGGCGAACCCGAAAGGGACAGUCGAUGGCUAACGGGUUAAUAUUCCCGUACUACUAAUUACUGUGAUGGGGUGACGGAGUGAUGAAAGCGCCGCGAACUGACGGAAUAGUUCGUUGAAGUACCUACCUAUAGGAUCUGCAGGCAAAUCCACAGAUCUUGGGGAAAUACGAUAGUACUCGGAGUCUUCGGACAAAGAGAUAGUGCGCCUAAGGGCUUCCAAGAAAAACCUCUAAACUUCAGGUAAUUAGUACCAGUACCGUAAACCGACACAGGUAGUUGAGGAGAGAAUCCUAAGGUGCUCGAGAGAUUCAUGGCUAAGGAAUUAGGCAAAAUAGACCUGUAACUUCGGGAGAAAGGUCGCCAGCGCAAGCUGGCCGCAGUGAAGAGGUCCAGGCGACUUUUAUCAAAAACACAGGGCUCUGCAAAAUCGUAAGAUGAAGUAUAGGGCCUGACACCAGCCCGGUGCUGGAAGGUUAAGAGGAGAUGUUAUCUUCGGAGAAGCAUUGAAUUGAAGCCCCAGUAAACGGCGGCCGUAACUAUAACGGUCCUAAGGUAGCGAAAUUCCUUGUCGGGUAAGUUCCGACCUGCACGAAUGGUGUAACGAUCUGGACACUGUCUCAGCCAUGAGCUCGGUGAAAUUGUAGUAACGGUGAAGAUGCCGUUUACCCGCAGUGGGACGAAAAGACCCUGUGCACCUUUACUAUAGCUCAGUAUUGACCUUGGAUAAAUGAUGUGUAGGAUAGGUUGGAGACUGUGAAGUGGCGUCGCCAGGCGUUGUGGAGUCAUUGC
RNAcentral lists this ribosomal RNA (1396 nucleotides) under metagenome. RNAcentral's name for it is "bacterial LSU rRNA". It matches the Rfam family "Bacterial large subunit ribosomal RNA", at positions 790 to 2192 of the family's 2925-position model. The record is from RNAcentral.